UAAUAGCUCACUGGUCGAGUCGGCCUGCGCGGAAGAUGUAACGGGGCUAAACCAUGCACCGAAGCUGCGGCAGCGACGCUUAUGCGUUGUUGGGUAGGGGAGCGUUCUGUAAGCCUGUGAAGGUGUGUCGUGAGGCAUGCUGGAGGUAUCAGAAGUGCGAAUGCUGACAUAAGUAACGAUAAAGCGGGUGAAAAGCCCGCUCGCCGGAAGACCA
This 214-nucleotide ribosomal RNA is filed under the name Salmonella enterica subsp. enterica serovar Give. RNAcentral describes it as "partial 23S ribosomal RNA". It matches the Rfam family "Bacterial large subunit ribosomal RNA", at positions 1135 to 1347 of the family's 2925-position model. Lineage: Bacteria; Pseudomonadati; Pseudomonadota; Gammaproteobacteria; Enterobacterales; Enterobacteriaceae. RNAcentral also lists the same sequence under 2 other names. The record is from RNAcentral.